Long non-coding RNA from Camelus dromedarius (Arabian camel), 788 nucleotides. RefSeq lists it as uncharacterized. The record is from RefSeq and is a predicted model, not a curated record. The transcript is spliced from 3 exons. Lineage: Eukaryota; Metazoa; Chordata; Mammalia; Artiodactyla; Camelidae.
GUGCUCCCCGCCCCUCUGCUGGCUCAUUCAUUCUUUCAGUCCGCGGGUACUUUAUCCUGCGCCUUCUUGUGUCGGGCCUGUGCCGGAGUCUGGGACGUGACACACGGGAGAGCAAAACCCAUUGUCUCUCCUCCCAAGUUUAAAUUCCAGGGGGAAAGCAGCCGAGUCAAUACACGAAUAAAUAAAUAAUACAAAUAGCGAUAUGGGCUUUGAAGGAACAAAACGGAGGAGUAACAAGACAUGAAUGCAAUUUGGAAGACAGGGACCUCUGAAGAGGGAAAAAUCUCGAGAAGAAAAAGAGGCCAAGGAAUGAGUCUUGGUGAACAGAACUUUAAAAGUUGGAGAGAGGAGGAGGAACCUGAGAAGGCAGAGCCAGAAAGAUGAAACCAAAGCCAAAAGUUCUCCAAGGACAGCCAGCCAGUAAGCAGCGGGAGCUGAAAUUCAGGGCUUCUGAAUCCUAGCCUCGUGUUGUUGUUGUUGGCAUUAUCUCAUUUAAAAGCAGAGCAUACCAAGGUUGAAGGAAUUGUAGAGUUCCUAAGUCCAAAGUCUUCAUGUUAUCAAAGGGCAACAGGUAAGAAAGUAAGUUCCUUGUCCAAGAUCUUUUCUCACUUUAGUACAACAGAUGUUUGGAUUCAGGGAGGAUUAAUAGACAGGGGCAUGUGACCAAGAUUAGGGAGACCUAUGUUUAAGUCCCUAUGCUACCAAUUAAUCACUAUAACCUUGGGAAACUCCUGUGAAUCUCUGAACUUCAGUUUUUCAUCUUUCAACUAGGACGUGGAGAGAAGCGU